Long non-coding RNA from Perognathus longimembris pacificus (Pacific pocket mouse), 241 nucleotides. RefSeq lists it as uncharacterized. The transcript is spliced from 3 exons. Lineage: Eukaryota; Metazoa; Chordata; Mammalia; Rodentia; Heteromyidae. The record is from RefSeq and is a predicted model, not a curated record.
UUGCAAUUUUAUUUGCUUAAAGUAUAUUCAUGGCCAUUUUCUCAUUUGUUAGGCCUUCUGUAGCAGUUAACGAGGCAAUAAACUGUGGGAUCUCAAGCAGCUGCUCAUUGCUAGUAACUUCCAUGAGUUGUUCUUUUAGUAUAAAAUGAACGAGUACAACCAGACACAGGAUGACAGAAUCUCUGUCUGUAUAAUUAUUGCUAUGAUUGGGAGAAGCUUAAUUUCAAAAGCAGAACAAAAU